GUUGAGAUAUUUGCGGAUUUGGAAAAACGUAGGAGGGAAACAUUGCACUAGUACUAAAAAUUUGAGGCACAACCUUGGCGGGAUGUUGUGGGUCGCACCUGUCCUUUUGAUUUCAUAGUUUUUUGCACUCACGUUUGGUUUCAACAAACCUAUCUACAAUUUGCACUCAUGUUUGGUUUCAACAAACCUAUCUACAAUUUUAUCUAAAUUUGUGCCGUUAUUAUUCAUGAAUGUAGGUUGGAGGAUG
RNAcentral lists this long non-coding RNA (247 nucleotides) under Setaria viridis. RNAcentral's name for it is "long non-coding RNA (SVIR_LNC003247)". Lineage: Eukaryota; Viridiplantae; Streptophyta; Magnoliopsida; Poales; Poaceae. The record is from RNAcentral.